Molecule: transfer RNA, 71 nt
Filed under: Gammaproteobacteria bacterium
Lineage: Bacteria; Pseudomonadati; Pseudomonadota; Gammaproteobacteria
Description: tRNA-Pro
Rfam family: tRNA
About the family: Transfer RNA (tRNA) molecules are approximately 80 nucleotides in length. Their secondary structure includes four short double-helical elements and three loops (D, anti-codon, and T loops).
Source: RNAcentral
GGAAUUAGCUCAGUGGGUAGAGCACCAGCCCGGGAAGCUGGGAGCGCCGGUUCGAAUCCGGCAUUCCUCCU